Populus trichocarpa (black cottonwood) is the source of this 132-nucleotide non-coding RNA. The record is from Rfam. Lineage: Eukaryota; Viridiplantae; Streptophyta; Magnoliopsida; Malpighiales; Salicaceae.
AAGUUUGUUAGGCUUUUUGAAUGAUCUAUUGAUGGUAGAUCCAUAGUUGACUGUUCAGAACUAUUUGAUUCUACAAAUUCAAGUACAUCAAUUUUGUAUAAUAACAUAAAAUACAUUAUACUAAAUUAAAAG